UCGAAGGUUCUUAUUUUACGUUUUCAAGAAGGUCUUACAACAUUCAUCUUGCCCAUCAUUUUCAUCGGACAAAAUUGUGCAUCCAGAGACAUACCUAAGCAAAUAGAAAUAACAGGGCCAAGUAAAAGAUGCCUCACACCGGACGAUCCAAAAGUAUUGCUAUUCUGGUGAAUGAGCAGCUUCCCGAUGCCGACAAUUCUAAUGGACAAAUACCAUAAACAACAAGGAUACCUGGUGUUGCUGAAAUGCACCAACUUCUCAUGGUGCAGACACAGAUGGACGUUAGAUCUUACAGUACGACGUUACAGUUAUCCAGAUGUGGAGCUUUCAUCCGGACUUGGUAGGCCCUCAUGCUUUCGAGGCUGUCUACUGUUAUUAUCUAGCGUAGA
Solanum pennellii is the source of this 389-nucleotide long non-coding RNA. RefSeq lists it as uncharacterized. The record is from RefSeq and is a predicted model, not a curated record. NCBI's taxonomy places the organism in Eukaryota, Viridiplantae, Streptophyta, Magnoliopsida, Solanales, Solanaceae. The transcript has 4 exons.